GGGUUGGAAAGGAGGUCAGAACGGCGCUGGUGGGACGAGCACCCUGGUCCUUGUUUGUCCCACCCUGCGGGCUCUCCCUGGUGGGCGUCAGCCGGAGAAGCCCACCUGCCCACACUGGCAAUGCCUGCUCACCACUUCUGAUAGAUUGCUCCCGGGGCGCCCCAGCCUAGUGCGGGGGUGGGUCUGUUCCCUGGAAGGAGAGGAGGUGGGACCCGCGGCCUUACAGGGUCUCGCAGACGCGUUCCAAAGAUGCUGCACAAUCUGGGAGAAUGGCAGACUCUUGUUUCAAAGCCCAUUUCCUCCACAAAACCUGGACAAAACUCAGCUGUCUUCAGCAAAACCAAAACAAAAGACAGAGUCCACCCUGACCGGUGUGGCUCAGGUGGUUUGGUGUCAACCAGCAAAGUAAAAGGUCACCAGUUUGAUUCUUGGUCAGAACACAUGCCUGGGUUACGGGUUUGGUCCUGGUUGGGGCACAUACAAGAGGCAACUGAAUGUUUCUCUCGCAUAGAUUGUUUCUCUCCUCUUUUUCCCUCCUUUCCCCUCUUUCUAAAAAUAAAAUCUUUUAAAAAAUAA
Long non-coding RNA from Pteronotus mesoamericanus, 576 nucleotides. RefSeq lists it as uncharacterized. The record is from RefSeq and is a predicted model, not a curated record. NCBI's taxonomy places the organism in Eukaryota, Metazoa, Chordata, Mammalia, Chiroptera, Mormoopidae. The transcript is spliced from 2 exons.